RNAcentral lists this ribosomal RNA (1443 nucleotides) under Staphylococcus aureus. RNAcentral describes it as "partial 23S ribosomal RNA". It matches the Rfam family "Bacterial large subunit ribosomal RNA", at positions 1333 to 2771 of the family's 2925-position model. Lineage: Bacteria; Bacillati; Bacillota; Bacilli; Caryophanales; Staphylococcaceae. The record is from RNAcentral.
UCCACCGAUUGACUAAGGUUUCCAGAGGAAGGCUCGUCCGCUCUGGGUUAGUCGGGUCCUAAGCUGAGGCCGACAGGCGUAGGCGAUGGAUAACAGGUUGAUAUUCCUGUACCACCUAUAAUCGUUUUAAUCGAUGGGGGGACGCAGUAGGAUAGGCGAAGCGUGCGAUUGGAUUGCACGUCUAAGCAGUAAGGCUGAGUAUUAGGCAAAUCCGGUACUCGUUAAGGCUGAGCUGUGAUGGGGAGAAGACAUUGUGUCUUCGAGUCGUUGAUUUCACACUGCCGAGAAAAGCCUCUAGAUAGAAAAUAGGUGCCCGUACCGCAAACCGACACAGGUAGUCAAGAUGAGAAUUCUAAGGUGAGCGAGCGAACUCUCGUUAAGGAACUCGGCAAAAUGACCCCGUAACUUCGGGAGAAGGGGUGCUCUUUAGGGUUAACGCCCAGAAGAGCCGCAGUGAAUAGGCCCAAGCGACUGUUUAUCAAAAACACAGGUCUCUGCUAAACCGUAAGGUGAUGUAUAGGGGCUGACGCCUGCCCGGUGCUGGAAGGUUAAGAGGAGUGGUUAGCUUCUGCGAAGCUACGAAUCGAAGCCCCAGUAAACGGCGGCCGUAACUAUAACGGUCCUAAGGUAGCGAAAUUCCUUGUCGGGUAAGUUCCGACCCGCACGAAAGGCGUAACGAUUUGGGCACUGUCUCAACGAGAGACUCGGUGAAAUCAUAGUACCUGUGAAGAUGCAGGUUACCCGCGACAGGACGGAAAGACCCCGUGGAGCUUUACUGUAGCCUGAUAUUGAAAUUCGGCACAGCUUGUACAGGAUAGGUAGGAGCCUUUGAAACGUGAGCGCUAGCUUACGUGGAGGCGCUGGUGGGAUACUACCCUAGCUGUGUUGGCUUUCUAACCCGCACCACUUAUCGUGGUGGGAGACAGUGUCAGGCGGGCAGUUUGACUGGGGCGGUCGCCUCCUAAAAGGUAACGGAGGCGCUCAAAGGUUCCCUCAGAAUGGUUGGAAAUCAUUCAUAGAGUGUAAAGGCAUAAGGGAGCUUGACUGCGAGACCUACAAGUCGAGCAGGGUCGAAAGACGGACUUAGUGAUCCGGUGGUUCCGCAUGGAAGGGCCAUCGCUCAACGGAUAAAAGCUACCCCGGGGAUAACAGGCUUAUCUCCCCCAAGAGUUCACAUCGACGGGGAGGUUUGGCACCUCGAUGUCGGCUCAUCGCAUCCUGGGGCUGUAGUCGGUCCCAAGGGUUGGGCUGUUCGCCCAUUAAAGCGGUACGCGAGCUGGGUUCAGAACGUCGUGAGACAGUUCGGUCCCUAUCCGUCGUGGGCGUAGGAAAUUUGAGAGGAGCUGUCCUUAGUACGAGAGGACCGGGAUGGACAUACCUCUGGUGUACCAGUUGUCGUGCCAACGGCAUAGCUGGGUAGCUAUGUGUGGACGGGAUAAGUGC